Molecule: ribosomal RNA, 440 nt
Filed under: uncultured bacterium
Lineage: Bacteria
Description: partial 16S ribosomal RNA
Rfam family: Bacterial small subunit ribosomal RNA
Source: RNAcentral
CCUACGGGAGGCUGCAGUGGGGGAUAUUGCACACUGGGGGAAACCCUGAUGCAGCGACGCCGCGUGAGUGAAGAAGUAUUUCGGUAUGUAAAGCUCUAUCAGCAGGGAAGAAACUGACAGUACCUGAGUAAGAAGCCCCAGCUAACUACGUGCCAGCAGCCGCGGUAAUACGUAGGGGGCAAGCGUUAUCCGGAAUUACUGGGUGUAAAGGGAGCGUAGACGGCAAUGCAAGUCCGGCGUGGAAUGCGGCAGCUUAACUGCCGAACUGCUCUGGAAACUGUAUGGCUUGAGUGCAGGAGGGGUAAGCGGAAUUCGUGGUGUAGCGGUGAAAUGCGUAGAUAUCAGGAGGAACACCGGUGGCGAAGGCGGCUUACUGGACUGUAACUGACGUUGAGGCUCGAAAGCGUGGGGAGCAAACAGGAUUAGAUACCCGAGUAGUC